This 215-nucleotide ribosomal RNA is filed under the name uncultured bacterium. RNAcentral's name for it is "partial 16S ribosomal RNA". It matches the Rfam family "Bacterial small subunit ribosomal RNA", at positions 131 to 334 of the family's 1533-position model. The record is from RNAcentral.
CCUCAGGGAGGGACAAUAGUAGAGACUGCUAAUACCGCAUACGAUCUAACCUUGGCAUCGAGGAUGGAUGAAAGGUGGCCUCUAUUUAUAAGCUAUCACUGAAGGAGGGGAUUGCGUCUGAUUAGCUAGUUGGAGGGGUAACGGCCCACCAAGGCGAUGAUCAGUAGCCGGUCUGAGAGGAUGAACGGCCACAUUGGGACUGAGACACGGCCCAG